Molecule: ribosomal RNA, 468 nt
Filed under: uncultured bacterium
Lineage: Bacteria
Description: partial 16S ribosomal RNA
Rfam family: Bacterial small subunit ribosomal RNA
Source: RNAcentral
GACGAACGCUGGCGGCGUGCUUAACACAUGCAAGUCGAACGGAAAGGCCCUGCUUUUGUGGGGUGCUCGAGUGGCGAACGGGUGAGUAACACGUGAGUAACCUGCCCUUGACCUUGGGAUAACUUCAGGAAACUGGGGCUAAUACCGGAUAGGAGCUCCUGCUGCAUGGUGGGGGUUGGAAAGUUUCGGCGGUUGGGGAUGGACUCGCGGCUUAUCAGCUUGUUGGUGGGGUAGUGGCUUACCAAGGCUUUGACGGGUAGCCGGCAUGAGAGGGUGACCGGGCACAUUGGGACUGAGAGACGGCCCAGACUCCUACGGGGGGCAGCAGUGGGGAAUAUUGCACAAUGGGCGGAAGCCUGAGGCAGCAACGCCGCGUGCGGGAUGACGGCCUUCGGGUUGUAAACCGCUUUCGCCUGUGACGAAGCGUGAGUGACGGUAAUGGGUAAAGAAGCACCGGCUAACUACGUG